AGAGUUUGAUCAUGGCUCAGGAUGAACGCUGGCGGUCUGCUUAACACAUGCAAGUCGAACGGAAGUAGCAAUACUUUAGUGGCGGACGGGUGAGUAACGCGUGAGAAUCUACCUUCAGGACGGAGACAACAGUUGGAAACGACUGCUAACCCCCGAUGUACCGCAAGGGCAAAUAUUUAUAGCCUGAAGAAGAGCUCGCGUCCGAUUAGCUAGUUGGGGGGGUAAAAGCCCACCAAGGCGACGAUCGGUAGCUGGUCUGAGAGGACGAUCAGCCACACUGGGACUGAGACACGGCCCAGACUCCUACGGGAGGCAGCAGUGGGGAAUUUUCCGCAAUGGGCGCAAGCCUGACGGAGCAAGACCGCGUGGGGGAGGAAGGCUCUUGGGUUGUAAACCCCUUUUCUCUGGGAAGAACAAAAUGACGGUACCAGAGAAUCAGCAUCGACUGCCCCC
Molecule: ribosomal RNA, 453 nt
Filed under: uncultured cyanobacterium
Lineage: Bacteria; Bacillati; Cyanobacteriota
Description: bacterial SSU rRNA
Rfam family: Bacterial small subunit ribosomal RNA
Source: RNAcentral